RNAcentral lists this ribosomal RNA (500 nucleotides) under uncultured bacterium. Its description in RNAcentral is "partial 16S ribosomal RNA". It matches the Rfam family "Bacterial small subunit ribosomal RNA", at positions 30 to 523 of the family's 1533-position model. The record is from RNAcentral.
AUUGAACGCUGGCGGAAUGCUUUACACAUGCAAGUCGAACGGCAGCACGGGGGCAACCCUGGUGGCGAGUGGCGAACAGGUGAGUAAUACAUCGGAACGUGCCCAGUCGUGGGGGAUAACGUAGCGAAAGUUACGCUAAUACCGCAUACGAUCUACGGAUGAAAGCGGGGGACCGUAAGGCCUCGCGCGAUUGGAGCGGCCGAUGUCAGAUUAGGUAGUUGGUGAGGUAAAGGCUCACCAAGCCGACGAUCUGUAGCUGGUCUGAGAGGACGACCAGCCACACUGGGACUGGGACACGGCCCAGACUCCUACGGGAGGCAGCAGUGGGGAAUUUUGGACAAUGGGCGCAAGCCUGAUUCAGCCAUUCCGCGUGCAGGACGAAGGCCUUCGGGUUGUAAACUGCUUUUGUACGGAACGAAAAGGCUCUGGUUAAUACCUGGGGCUCAUGACGGUACCGUAAGAAUAAGCACCGGCUAACUACGUGCCAGCCGCCGCAGUAA